Long non-coding RNA from Homo sapiens (human), 553 nucleotides. Ensembl annotates it as long intergenic non-protein coding RNA 2189. Lineage: Eukaryota; Metazoa; Chordata; Mammalia; Primates; Hominidae. The record is from Ensembl.
GAGGCAAGUCUGAGGUCAUCAGCCAAGGGUGUCUGCAUCGGACAACACUCAACUCGGGAUUGGCACCCAGCCAGUGCCCUACACUAUACAAGAUGCCACUGUAGGGACAGGGAUGACCUCUAGCAAGCGGGCUAAAUCAACACCACAGGCCCCGUGAUCAAUAUAUGUGAUGAGGACAUUACAUCCUGGUGUUGUUGCCCCAAGUCUUGACGUGAAUCUGACCACAAGGACAAUUCGGACAACCUGAAAUGGUGACGCAUUCUACAAAAUAAACAUCAAUGUCAUGAAAGACAAAGACUCAAGAUUUUCUGCUUAAUGGAGACUAAAGAGAUGCGACAACAGAAUGCCAGGCAUGAUCUUGGAUAUUCUUUUGGCUCAAACAGUCUUAGGACAAUUGAAAAAACGUGAAUGAGGUCUGUAGCUAAUAGAAUUGUGUCAAUGCCACAUCCUUGGUUUUGUUAAUUGCAUUGUGGUUACAGAAGAGAAUCCCUUUGUUUUCAGGAAAUGCACACAGCAGUAUUUAAUAGUAAAGGCACAUCUUGUCUGCAACUUC